CCUACGGGAGGCAGCAGUGGGGAAUAUUGCACAAUGGGGGAAACCCUGAUGCAGCGACGCCGCGUGAGUGAGGAAGUAUUUCGGAAUGUAAAACCCUAUCAGCAGGGAAGAAAAUGACGGUACGUGACUAAGAACCCCCGGCUAACUACGUGCCAGCAGCCGAGGUAAUACGUAGGGGGCAAGCGUUAUCCGGAUUUAAGGGGUGUAAAGGGAGCGUAGACGGCUUAUCAAGUCAGAAGUGAAACCCAAGGGCUCAACCUUGGGAGUGCUUUUGAAACUGAGUAGCUAGAGUGCAGGAGAGGUAAGCGGAAUUCCUAGUGUAGCGGUGAAAUGCGUAGAUAUUAGGAGGAACACCAGUGGCGAAGGCGGCUUACUGGUCUGUAACUGACGUUGAGGCUCGAAAGCGUGGGGAGCAAACAGGAUUAGAUACCCGAGUAGUC
Molecule: ribosomal RNA, 440 nt
Filed under: uncultured bacterium
Lineage: Bacteria
Description: partial 16S ribosomal RNA
Rfam family: Bacterial small subunit ribosomal RNA
Source: RNAcentral